Molecule: ribosomal RNA, 560 nt
Filed under: Shigella flexneri
Lineage: Bacteria; Pseudomonadati; Pseudomonadota; Gammaproteobacteria; Enterobacterales; Enterobacteriaceae
Description: bacterial SSU rRNA
Rfam family: Bacterial small subunit ribosomal RNA
Source: RNAcentral
GAAUUGACGGGGGCCCGCACAAGCGGUGGAGCAUGUGGUUUAAUUCGAUGCAACGCGAAGAACCUUACCUGGUCUUGACAUCCACGGAAGUUUUCAGAGAUGAGAAUGUGCCUUCGGGAACCGUGAGACAGGUGCUGCAUGGCUGUCGUCAGCUCGUGUUGUGAAAUGUUGGGUUAAGUCCCGCAGCGAGCGCAACCCUUAUCCUUUGUUGCCAGCGGUCCGGCCGGGAACUCAAAGGAGACUGCCAGUGAUAAACUGGAGGAAGGUGGGGAUGACGUCAAGUCAUCAUGGCCCUUACGACCAGGGCUACACACGUGCUACAAUGGCGCAUACAAAGAGAAGCGACCUCGCGAGAGCAAGCGGACCUCAUAAAGUGCGUCGUAGUCCGGAUUGGAGUCUGCAACUCGACUCCAUGAAGUCGGAAUCGCUAGUAAUCGUGGAUCAGAAUGCCACGGUGAAUACGUUCCCGGGCCUUGUACACACCGCCCGUCACACCAUGGGAGUGGGUUGCAAAAGAAGUAGGUAGCUUAACCUUCGGGAGGGCGCUUACCACUUUGUGA